RNAcentral lists this small RNA (161 nucleotides) under Nothoprocta perdicaria. RNAcentral's name for it is "TUC338 (ENSNPEG00000005506.1)". Lineage: Eukaryota; Metazoa; Chordata; Aves; Tinamiformes; Tinamidae. The record is from RNAcentral.
UUCAGAGAGCUGGAAAGUUAAGUCCUGUAUUUACCCAGAGCACAUGCAGCACAUAGGCAAGCGGCUUCUCCCCAGCACCGCCGAGUCACAGUCCUGACCUGAAGGGACCUGACCAGCAGGGAUGGGAAGGCAGUUUUCUGUUCAUUAAUUCCUUAGGAGCU